UACGAGGGGUGCAAACGUUGUCCGGAAUUACUGGGCGUAAAGAGCGCGUAGGCGGUUUGAUAAGUUUCCUAUGAAAGACCGAGGCUCAACCUCGGAAUUGUGGGAAAUACUGUCAAACUCGAGUCUGGCAGGGGCUGGCGGAACACUCGGUGUAGGGGUGACAUCCGUUGAUAUCGAGUGGAACACCAACGGCGAAGGCAGCUAGCUAGGCCAGUACUGACGCUGAGGCGCGAAAGCGUGGGUAGCGAUCGGG
RNAcentral lists this ribosomal RNA (253 nucleotides) under uncultured bacterium. RNAcentral describes it as "partial 16S ribosomal RNA". It matches the Rfam family "Bacterial small subunit ribosomal RNA", at positions 524 to 776 of the family's 1533-position model. The record is from RNAcentral.